CAAAGUAAAGCUAAAGAUUAGUAUUUCACUUACGUUGAAAAGGUUGUCGCAGGGGCGAUUUAUUUUGG
RNAcentral lists this transfer RNA (68 nucleotides) under Cherax boesemani. Its description in RNAcentral is "tRNA-Val". Lineage: Eukaryota; Metazoa; Arthropoda; Malacostraca; Decapoda; Parastacidae. The record is from RNAcentral.